UUCUGUGUGAAAACAGAAGAAAGAUUUAACACUCUAUGGUGACCGCAGAGUAUCGGGACUCAUAUUUGCUGCAGAGGGGUGAGACGUGUGUUUUAGCCCGCGAUGCCGUAAACAGUCACCUGUGCAAGGGAAAGUGGGAAAGUGGGAUCGGCAUCUCCCGGCUGCCGGGUCGGGAUGGCCCUGCUUUGUCCCGGACGGCGUUCCGCGGGCUUCUCCGGCACUGCCAGGCACCGUCCCGGCCAAGAGCCGCCACCUGCGUUCCGCUUCCCGCCUCCUGGCCGCGCCCGGCCCCGCGGGGCGCCGGGGCGGAGCAGGACCUGUCCCGCCCCACUGGGCCGCAGGUCGGGUCUCCGCCUCCGCCCGUCCCGACCUGUCCAGUGCCGGUCGCGGUCAGAGGAUCCGCGCCCCCGGCGCCGGCCGAUGGAUCCCGAGGCGGCGGGGGACGAACUGUCCCGCUUGCGCUCGCUGUUCCUGGCGUGCGACGCCAACGGCUCGGGCCGCAUCGAGCGGGAGGACUUCGCGGCACUGUGCGCCGAGCUGCGGGUGCGGCCGGCCGAGGCCGAGGCCAUCUUCCAGCGCCUCGACAGCGACCGCGAUGGGGCCAUCACCUUCCCGGAGUUCGCCCGUGGCUUCCGCGGCGCCACGCGGCGGCAGCCCGGCGGCGGCGAGCCUGCGGGCGAGGAGGGCGAGGGGGAGGAGACGGCCGCGUGGGUCGCCGCGGGGCUGGAACAGCCCUGGAAGGACUUCGAGGUGCGGCUCGGGGACGAGGCGAGGUACAUCCCCAGACAAGAGCAGGUCAGUGUUCUGUAUCAGAACAUACACAUAGCGGAACCAAGAUUAAUCCAAUCAUACGAGCGUGUAAUUAAGAACUUCAUCCGAGAGAUCAAACUUCAAAGUACAGAGAUGGAAACUUUGGCCAUAGCAGUAAAAAGAGCUCAGGAGAAAGCAGCAGUUCAGCUAAGUGAGCUAGAGGAAGAGAUGGAACAACGGAUACAAGCUGCAGAGCAUAAUGUUAAAAAGGAAGAGAAGCGAAAAGCUGAAGAAGCACUAAAUGAACUGAAGCGCCAGUAUGAUACUGAAGUUGGGGAUCUUCAGGUGACAAUAAAAAAGCUUAAAAAGCUGGAGGAGCAAUCCAAAAAUGUAAAUCACAAGGAAGAUGUGGGUGAACUGAAAAAAAGAAUGCAUGAUAUGUUCCUGGAAAAUCAGAAACUUAAGAAAGAUCUUUUAGAAGCACAGACAAAUAUAGCUUUUCUACAGAGUGAAUUAGAUAGCUUGAAAAGCGAGUAUGCAGAUCAGUCUUUGAACACUGAGAGAGACCUAGAAAUUAUCCGAGAGUAUACUGAAGACAGAGAUAAUCUGGAAAGACAAAUUGAAAUACUGCAAUCAGCUAAUAGAAAGUUACAUGACAGCAAUGAUGGUUUAAGAAGUGCACUUGAAAACAGUUUCAGCAAGUACAACAGAUCAUUGCGGUUAGCAAACACCUCACCAGGAAGUACCAAUUCUAGAAGCAGUCCUAAAUUUAAUGGUGGACAUUCUCCUUUAAAUCCACGGUAUGACAGGUCAUCUCAUUCGUCUUGUGUGGAUGAAGAUUUUGAUUCUUUAGCCGUUUGUGAUCCUAUGCAAAGGAUAAACUGUGAAGUUGACAGCUUACCUGAGAGUUGUUUUGACAGUGGUUUAUCUACCCUGAGAGAUUCAAAUGAAUAUGAUUCAGAAGUGGAAUACAGGCAUCAAAGGAUUUUUCAAAGGCCACAGUGUAUGCAAGAAGGCUUUGGUGGUGAUGCUUCUGAUACAGAUGUUCCAGAGAUCAGGGAUGAAGAAGCGUACAGUCCUGAUAACAGUACUGCAGUAUUAGACUGGAAGCCCUCACGACCAGUGAGUCGAAGCAGCUCAAUUGCUUCAACACGGAAAUACAUAUCUGCUCUCACUCCCCAGAGGGAUUAUUUUUAUUUUCAGUCAGAUGCAACCGAAUGCACUCUAAAAUACCCCAGUUCAGAGAAGGCUUUCAAGAUUGUUCUUGCUGGAGAUGCAGCAGUGGGAAAAUCCAGUUUCCUCAUGAGACUUUGCAAGAAUGAAUUUCGAGGCAAUACCAGUGCAACUCUGGGUGUGGAUUUUCAAAUGAAAAGACUAAUUGUUGAUGGAGAAUCUACAGUGCUACAACUGUGGGACACAGCAGGGCAAGAGAGAUUCCGAAGUAUUGCUAAAUCAUACUUCAGAAGAGCGGAUGGUGUCUUACUACUGUAUGAUGUAACAUGUGAAAAAAGCUUUCUUAACGUGAGAGAAUGGGUGGAUAUGAUUGCGGAUGCAACUCAUGAGACUAUUCCAAUUAUGAUGGUGGGAAACAAGGUAGAUCUCCGUCAAGCUGUUACAGAACAAGGGCAAAAAUGUGUGCCUGUAAACUAUGGAGAAAGGCUGGCUAUGACUUAUAAUGCGCUAUUCUGUGAAACAAGUGCUAAAGAUGGAUCUAAUAUUGUAGAAGCAGUUCUUCAUCUUGCUCGUGAAGUGCGAAAACGAAGUGAGAAUCAAGAUGAUACGAGACUUUGGUUUCGCUGGUCUGAAGUAAUAUAAUACAAUGAAAUGAGCUCAGAAUGAGUGCUGUAGUAAUCACAGCAUACAACAUUGCAAUACAUGUUGUUGUCUGCACCUGCUUGUUUCUUUAUGGCUUUUUGAGGGCCUUCAGUUAUGUGUUGAGGAAACAUUUCUUACGGAAACUCCAAACCAUUAAAAGGCUGCCCAGGUCCAUACCCUAAGUUUAGGGCAUGAAGCAGAAUGAUCUCUGUCGGGAGAAGACAGUGGCAGGUGCAUGGGGUUCUGGUGUACUUUCUCAAAAGUUGGUGAGUUAGAAUGUGUUUUGUUUUGGGAGUUGGGGUUUGUUUCAGAACGGAAAAGUAUACUUUACAUCUGUUCUGACACAGCUCGAAGAUGAAAGAAACAUUUGUGUGGACUGUUACCAUUCAAAAUUCCAGAGAGAAUGUAACACCUGUUAUAUUCAUUGCUGGAAUGAAUUAAUGAUCCAACCUGCCUGUUUGUUUAGACUUUAUCAUUAUUAGUAUUACAGAGUGAUAGGGAUUGUAAUUUUCCCCUUGUAUUUUAAAUGUCUUCCAUUCAGUCAAUAAUUGAAGGAUUGUAAUAAUACAUAGGAGUCUGAUUUAAUGGAUAUUUUUUAUCCAUUUUUAAAGUUUUAAACUAUGUGAAAGAAUUGCUGCACAUGCACAAGCAUCUGUAUAAGCUGUUCAUUAAAAGGAGACCCUGAAAUGAACAGCAACCACUUACCUUAAUGAGAAUUCCUUUGCCUGAUUUUGGAAAAGUUCUGAGAAACUCAGCAGGGGGUGGUAGCUUUAAGUGUCAGCAUCUCUAAGAACUGAGUUAUUAUUGCUUAAAAUAGUUCCAAAGAGUUCUAUGCUAUAGUAAAAAUUGUAGGUAUUUAUACAGUUAACUGUCAUGAUCCAGUUCUUCUUAGCUUUCACUAAUUUUUAUCAGAAUGGGAUCUUUUCAGAACCAGCAGGUUUGUCUCCUCUGUAUCUAUUAAUAACACAUCUCCAGGCUAGCUCCAUAAAUCAACCUUAGAUAAAGUUUUAUGGACUGAUUGGAAACCCAUAUGACUAGCAGCAGUUACUGCAUUUUAUCAGCAUUGUAUUUGAACACUGUAUAGUCUGUACAGUGUUACCUGUUGUAUAAAAUGUAGAGUUGUCAAAACCAGAAUGAUUUGUAAUUUACAGAAAAAAAUGUUUAAAGUAGGAAGAGCAGUGUUUUUAGGCAUCCUUACCAGAGCGGUUAAUCCUCAGGUAAUUAUCUGGAAGUUUGUUCUUAACAAGACAGAAAAAUCUAGUACUGGAAUGAAUAAGACAUUUUAUUUCACAGUAUAGUAAUUUAGCUCCAAAAGAGAAACGUAUUUGGUAGUUUGGUUUUUUCUUAAGUACUAAAAGAAUCUUCACACACUACUUUAUUCUAUGUGGGAGACUUCAGGGUUGUAGCAUCUUCCCACUCAACAGUACAAGAGGCCUCACUGUAGUCCUGAGACUUAUCUGGAGCUGAUGGCAGAGAACGAAGGACACUCAGGUGUAUGAGAAAUAUGCUUAGUCACAUACAUUUUGUCUGCUAUUAACCCUGUACUAUUUAAACAAGAAAGUUACAGUUCCAAUUAGCUUUUCUGAGGAGAAAAACCAUGUUGAACUGAUUGCAUUGAUGAGGGCCUCUUCUGCGUCCUUCUCUCUUUCCAUGAGUGAAAUUGAAGUAGUAUUAAUUUGGGUUGUAUUUGCAGAUAGUUCUUCCUGGAGCAGUAGGGAGAAAAGAGGAAGAUGAUCCAGUGCUUGGUUUCUGAAGUGUGACCUUACAACAUGUAGGUAUUUGCAUUUUCUCAGGAUAAGAAGGUCAUGAUUAUAAGUUUUCUGAAAAAUCCAUAUACUAAGAGCCUCAAAAAUGGUCAAGAGACAGAAGAACUAACUAAAACUUUCACUCAAAUAAAAGGGAGGGUUCCUUGGACAAUGCCCCAGUGAGGUCUCUCAGCUUGACAGGGGUCGCAGCCUCUUUUAUCCACUCUGCCCAAAACUCAAGUCCCUCCCCGUUUCUCCACUGAGUGAGGUAUUCCGGGGUUACAGACUGUCUGACAUGCCUACUACAUGUCCCCCAUUACAUGCUCAUUAAGGGCUUUGGGGGUCCCCAACAUUUUCAAAAUGGAGGUUACUGCAUAUUUAUCCCUUGCUGCUGUUGGUCUCCGUGUUCUGGGCACUGUAUUAUCUCAUACUGGACAACUACAUAACUGUUCUAUCCCCUCCUACUAAGUUAACUAUGACUACUACAAACUUUGCAAUAUUAUUAUUCCUAAUAAUCCUCCCUUUUUUUAAAAAUUAUGUUCUUGCAAAAGGGAGUACCAUUUUGUUAAUAGUUGUCUCUUGAUCUGCUUCAAUAUCUAUGGUUAAAGUUUCUUGAGAAUGAGUAGUUGGUAAUUCUCAUUUACACACUAUUUUCAGAGCCAUUAUUUUCUGUCCUUUAAUUGCCAUUUCAGAGUCAUUAGGCAUAGCUACUAAUUGCAUCCCCUUCAUCACAUGUGCAAUAAGUUGCAUAAGACAAGGAAUCACACAAGGCAGGAAAAUUAAGGUAGCUUACCUGCAAAAAACAAAGAAUAGUAUUUUCUUUAUUGCUGGUCCAACUGCAAGCCAUGAAAACAUAUCUAUGCCCCACUCCUUCCAAGUUUCAACUGGGACAUGGACUAACUUUCGGAUUUGUUUUGUUAUUUGUUUUACUCUUUUUCCAUUGUCAUCGAUUUGCAGGCAGCAAUUUGAGUUAUUUAAUUUUCCACAUACUCCACUUUCCACUGCUAACAAAAAAUCAAAAACCAUUUGGUGUUUAAAGUUGGCAGUUCUCAUUUGGGUUACUUGGUCUGCCAGCAAGUCUAACACUAGCUCUUUGAUUGGCAAUAAUCUCUAAUAUAGCUUGGAGUCAAAUUAUAUGAUUUAAAUUAUAGAUGGACUCUCUUGUUCCAUGAAUCAAUUCACGGGGGUUCCGUGAUAUUGUUAUCUUGCGGCUGUUAGCUGGGACAAAUGGGUUU
Neopelma chrysocephalum (saffron-crested tyrant-manakin) is the source of this 5545-nucleotide RNA transcript. It is a transcript of the gene named RAS and EF-hand domain containing, with no coding region annotated. The transcript is spliced from 19 exons. Lineage: Eukaryota; Metazoa; Chordata; Aves; Passeriformes; Pipridae. The record is from RefSeq and is a predicted model, not a curated record.